UAGGGAAUCUUCGGCAAUGGGGGCAACCCUGACCGAGCAACGCCGCGUGAGUGAAGAAGGUUUUCGGAUCGUAAAGCUCUGUUGUAAGAGAAGAACGUGUGUGAGAGUGGAAAGUUCACACAGUGACGGUAACUUACCAGAAAGGGACGGCUAACUACGUGCCAGCAGCCGCGGUAAUACGUAGGUCCCGAGCGUUGUCCGGAUUUAUUGGGCGUAAAGCGAGCGCAGGCGGUUUAAUAAGUCUGAAGUUAAAGGCAGUGGCUUAACCAUUGUUCGCUUUGGAAACUGUUAAACUUGAGUGCAGAAGGGGGGGGUGGAAUUCCAUGUGUAGCGGUGAAAUGCGUAGAUAUAUGGAGGAACACCGGUGGCGAAAGCGGCUCUCUUGUCUGUAACUGACGCUGAGGCUCGAAAGCGUGGGGAGCAAACAGG
This 429-nucleotide ribosomal RNA is filed under the name bacterium. RNAcentral describes it as "partial 16S ribosomal RNA". It matches the Rfam family "Bacterial small subunit ribosomal RNA", at positions 355 to 776 of the family's 1533-position model. The record is from RNAcentral.